Trichosporon asahii var. asahii CBS 8904 is the source of this 83-nucleotide transfer RNA. It matches the Rfam family "tRNA". From Rfam's summary of the family: Transfer RNA (tRNA) molecules are approximately 80 nucleotides in length. Their secondary structure includes four short double-helical elements and three loops (D, anti-codon, and T loops). The record is from Rfam. NCBI's taxonomy places the organism in Eukaryota, Fungi, Basidiomycota, Tremellomycetes, Trichosporonales, Trichosporonaceae.
GGUCGCGUGGCCCAAUGGCAAGGCGUCUGACUACGAUUCGUUAGGUUAUCAGGAGAUUGCGGGUUCGAUCCCCGUCGUGACCU